This 65-nucleotide transfer RNA is filed under the name Benedenia hoshinai. RNAcentral's name for it is "tRNA-Trp". The record is from RNAcentral. Lineage: Eukaryota; Metazoa; Platyhelminthes; Monogenea; Capsalidea; Capsalidae.
AGCUAAUUAAGUUAAUUAAGACUAAAUGUUUUCAAAACAUUAAGUGAAAUUAUUUUCAUUAGUUG